AUACGAAAGUUGCAAGCGUUGUUCGGAUUUACUGGGCGUAAAGAGAGUGUAGGUUGUUUAUUAAGUCGGAUGUGAAAGCCCGGUGCUCAACCUCGGAACUGCAUUCGAUACUGGUAGACUAGAGUUCGGGAGGGGUAAGCGGAAUUCCGUGUGUAGCAGUGAAAUGCGUAGAUAUACGGAGGAACACCUGAGGCGAAGGCGGCUUACUGGACCGAUACUGACACUGAGACUCGAAAGCGUGGGUAGCAAACAGGAUUAGAAACCCUAGUAGUCC
Molecule: ribosomal RNA, 274 nt
Filed under: uncultured bacterium
Lineage: Bacteria
Description: partial 16S ribosomal RNA
Rfam family: Bacterial small subunit ribosomal RNA
Source: RNAcentral